This is a long non-coding RNA of Piliocolobus tephrosceles (Ugandan red Colobus), 2170 nucleotides long. RefSeq lists it as uncharacterized. The transcript is spliced from 3 exons. NCBI's taxonomy places the organism in Eukaryota, Metazoa, Chordata, Mammalia, Primates, Cercopithecidae. The record is from RefSeq and is a predicted model, not a curated record.
GCGUCACUGGGUCCUGGUAGAGUCCCAGGCAGAUGGCGCAGGUCAGCUUCUCCUCCAGUAGCUGCGCGGCCAUGGCCCGGCGGCGGUGGGGGCCAGGCGGGCCCCGGAAUUCUUAAAGGGACAGCUGGCCUCGCGUACUGAGGGCGCCCGGGCGUGGCUAACGCGGGGCGGGGCGAGGCUAGGUCCCUGCCCCGGAAGGCGGAGGGGUGCGGCGGGCCCUUCUCCGACACCUUCGACCAGCGACGUCCGCAGGGGCCUAGGCCACCCCUGCCCGCCUCGGCCUGGGCCGCUGGAAGGCUCCGCGUUCCGGCCUUGCGCCCCUCCCUCUCUCUAGGCACCGCGCCACCCCGGCUGAGAGCUGGGUUCGGAUCUCUCGGGUCCCAGCCUGGCGGGUCCAUCCCACCCCUUUGGGCCUUCAGCCCAGGUCCUGGAGAGCAGAGACUCGAAAAUCCCGCCCCGCCUCCGGGCUUCUGACCACGGGUUGCGCGGAAUCUCUUCUGGACUCAUCUGUCAAUGGCCUAACUGCAUAGACCACCCGCGCAAUCCCCCGGGGCUCGGCGAUGAAACGAAAGUCAGUGCACGUGGGCGGGCGGGCUCCCUGCAGACCCGAGCACUGCUGCACUUUUUCCUGGAGCUGGGUUUCGGGCACUUGCCAGACUGGGGUGUCUUCCUUCUCUGGGCUACACGUAAUUUUGGUUAUUUUAAAGUAAACAGCGAGAUGGAAAUGUCUGGUCACCAACAGACAGGGACCAGUUAACUGGUAUUUUUCAAACGGCCCUUGAAUGAGUACACAAACCAGCUUUCAGCUGCAAUCAGCAUCCCUUCUCCCUGCUGCCCUCUGCUGGGGAGAGUUUCUGGCCUGGGGUCCGAGCUGAUCUGCAGCCUCAGUAUUGAGAGGCACUCCAGCGUUUCCCCUGCGGCUGAGCAGGCAAGGCGGGUCUGGGGCCUAGCGCCCACCUCCCCGGCAGUGUGUAUCAGGCCAGGGGGAACCCCGGGAGAGCAAGGCCUUUCUAUCUAACCAAGCUGGGCUGAUGCUGAGGCGGCACGAGCUCUCACUGCUGCAGCAAGCACUGCGUCCUGUGUGCGGCCACAGGCGAAGUUUCUUUCUGGAAAAAGUGCACGGAUCUACCCUCCACCUACUAGUUAGCCAGACUUCUGCUUUUGGGCAGGCGAGGCCUGGGAGCUCAGGCCCACCCAGUGCCCCAGCCCCAUGGCCCUUACCCAGAAGCUGGUGGAAGAUGUGCGUGACGGAGUCAUCCCAGCGGCACUGGAAGAAGGACAACCCGGCUGGCGUCAUGGCUUCUUGGUGUUUCUUGUAGAAAUCAAAAGUGCGGAAGGUCCGCUGGGCCAGCUGAUAGCUGACAGAGGAGGCAGCCCAGCUCUGUGAAUGCCUGGACAUACCGCAAACACGGGAAGCGGGCUGGAGGAGCUCCGAGUGGGGGACGGGGCUCCAGAGAGCGCCACCUUGACAGCAAAGCCAUGCAGCCUGCUUCCAGGCCCCAGGAGCCGGGGGUCAGCCACAGCCACGGAGGCUAGAAAGCCAUGCCACUUCUGGCUGCUUUUCCCUCUGCGUCAGCCACAGCCACGGAGGCUAGAAAGCCAUGCCACUUCUGGCUGCUUUUCCCUCUGCGUCCCGAAGUCUCCAGGACCUCGUCGGGGAUUGUGUGCCCAGCCUGGCACAGAGACGGCCAAUGCCUCAGGCACAACUCCCCAGAGGGUCCUGCUGCACACAGGUUGGUAACUGCAGUUGAAUAAAAAUGACAGAAACCAGCCUCCCAGUCACUGUCCCCAAUUAACCAGAAGGCUCAAAGUUGGGGUCACUGGCCUGACCUCUGCCCCCUGGCCUGGUGUUCAGAGCCAAAAGCUACCGAGACGAUAGAAGGCAGCCUCGUCUGGGCCCAGGGAAGGAGUGCCCAGUGGUUCAAGGAGCACCUGGGAGAUGCCACAGCUGCCAGGCCUCUCCUGCUCCUUCUCUCAUGUGACCGUCAGUCCACAUGAGUGGACUGUGUCACUCACUCACUCAGGCUGAGUAAGGCACAUGGUGCCAUUAUCCCAGUUUUACAGGUGAAGAAAUGAGUUUAGAGAGACGAAGGGGCCAGGCAUGGUGGCUCAUGCUUGUAAUCCUAGCACUUUGGGAGGCAGAGGUGGGCAGAUCGCUUGAGCUCAGGAG